RNAcentral lists this unclassified non-coding RNA (229 nucleotides) under uncultured fungus. Its description in RNAcentral is "sequence contains ITS1, 5.8S rRNA gene". The record is from RNAcentral. Lineage: Eukaryota; Fungi.
UCUCCGUAGGUGAACCUGCGGAGGGAUCAUUACUGAGUGAGGGCCCCCGGCCCGACCUCCAACCCUUUGUGUAUCUCGACCCUGUUGCCUCGGGGGCGACCCGGCCUUCGGGUGUCGGGGCCCCCGGUGGACUACCCAACCCUGCAUCGUUGCGUCUGAGUCGAAAUAUAAAUCAAUCAAAACUUUCAACAACGCGUCUCUUGGUUCUGGCAUCGAUGAAGAACGCAGC